RNAcentral lists this ribosomal RNA (243 nucleotides) under uncultured bacterium. RNAcentral describes it as "partial 16S ribosomal RNA". It matches the Rfam family "Bacterial small subunit ribosomal RNA", at positions 524 to 768 of the family's 1533-position model. The record is from RNAcentral.
UACGAAGGGUGCAAGCGUUACUCGGAAUUACUGGGCGUAAAGCGUGCGUAGGUGGUUUGUUAAGUCUGAUGUGAAAGCCCUGGGCUCAACCUGGGAAUUGCAUUGGAUACUGGCAGGCUAGAGUGCGGUAGAGGAUGGCGGAAUUCCCGGUGUAGCAGUGAAAUGCGUAGAGAUCGGGAGGAACACCAACAGCGAAGGCAGAUCUCUGGGCGUAUACGACGCUGAGAGCGAAAGCGUGGGGAG